This 253-nucleotide ribosomal RNA is filed under the name uncultured bacterium. RNAcentral's name for it is "partial 16S ribosomal RNA". It matches the Rfam family "Bacterial small subunit ribosomal RNA", at positions 524 to 776 of the family's 1533-position model. The record is from RNAcentral.
UACGAAGGGGGCUAGCGUUGUUCGGAAUUACUGGGCGUAAAGGGCGCGUAGGCGGUUUGUCAAGUCAGAUGUGAAAGCCCCGGGCUUAACCUGGGAACUGCGUUUGAAACUGGGAGACUUGAGUGUGGCAGAGGGGGGUGGAAUUCCACGUGUAGCAGUGAAAUGCGUAGAUAUGUGGAGGAACACCAAUGGCGAAGGCAGCCCCCUGGGUCAACACUGACGCUCAUGCACGAAAGCGUGGGGAGCAAACAGG